UUUAGUAGAGGCCCUCAUGAUGUAUCCUCUUUAGAUUUUGUUUUUGAAGAUGACGCCAUCAAUUCGUUUUCUCUCUCAAUUCUCCUCACUGUCUUUCAUGGUGUGAGUGCAUCCCCCUUUUUUUUUUCACUGUUUUGCCUCUGUUUCCCUCUUCUCCUCCCGUUUUCUCUUUUCUCUGUCUGUUUUCUCCUACUCUUUCUCCGUGUAUCUCCUGUCUGUGUAUAUGUGUGUAUUUCUAUAGCUGGAUCUAUGUAUUCUCUAUAUUUGUGCAUUGAAUAUGUGAGUAUAUAGCUAUAGAAUCUUGUAAUUGUAGAUUAAAAAUAAGAUGACU
Molecule: long non-coding RNA, 331 nt
Filed under: Capsicum annuum
Lineage: Eukaryota; Viridiplantae; Streptophyta; Magnoliopsida; Solanales; Solanaceae
Description: long non-coding RNA (CANN_LNC001772)
Source: RNAcentral